UGUGGCUGUCCUGUCUCACCAGGUUCUUCCUGGGCUCUGACGUCCCCCGCAGCUUCUCCUUGCCACGUCCUUACUCAGCCACCCGGCUUUCAACCCUUAACACCGGGCCGAGUGCUCACCACAUACGGGGCGGAGGAAAGACGCAGGGAACAGUUCUCAGAGCAAGCGGGUUUGGACAGGUGUCCUGCUCACGGUGCUGACGCUGAGCCUGGCCGGUGGAGUGGUCAUCUGGAAAAGGAAGAAAAUGCGGUCCAGGAGGGGCCAGUCCACUCUGCUGCCCACAGAGCUGGGCUCCGNNNNNNNNNNNNNNNGGGUGGCCCCAGGAGCCACUGCCCUCCCGAUGUGGAGCUCAGUCUCCUAAGACACGCCAAGAAUGACAUGGAGAGGGGCAGCUGUCAUCCCCCUAGCCCUGAGUGCCCCCCAACAGUCUGCACCGUCUACGACAAGAUUCGGAUGAGCCGAGAGCCCCAGGAGGACGCCUAGGUUAACGAAGACAUCGGGGCAGUGAAGGGCCUUGGCAAGAUCUGGCCCACCCUGCCUUCCACCCAGGGCCCCAGAAAUCCCUCCUCAGGUAGACCUAGUACAAGACCCCAGGUCUUCCUGACGUGCCGCCCCCCUCCCAUCCAAGGUGUCAGAGCAGCACCACGUGUCCCUGGGCUCCUCACCAAGCUCUUGUCACUUCACAGGUGGUAAGCAUCGACUAUGCCACCUGAGCACCCAGGAUGAGAGGCUGGUCCUUGGGCGGGCAGUCAGAUUUCUGACCUGUGACCCACUCACCCCUGGGAGGGGUCACCCGUAGUCAGGCAGGACCUGCAGACGCAUGUCUGGGAGCAGAGAUGCUGUCCCAGAAUCGGGCGGGCUUUGGAUGGAGGACCUCUAGGCUGUCACUGCCCAGCCCGGCCCCAUGAACAGAAGAGGGAGGGCCCUGGACUAUGGGAAAACAAGAGCUGCAGAGAGGAAGUUCAGGGUCAGCUUCAGCACGGAGGGAGGGGCGGAAGGGAAGGAAGUAGUUUUUGAGCUCCAUCACCUGCAGGCUUACUGUAAACACCAGAAAUGCACUAUCUCAAGAUCUCUCAAAAUUCAAGCAAUUUAUCAACCUUUUUAAAAAUUACCUAAUGGGGGUGCCUGGGUGGCUCAGUCGCUGAGCGUCUGCCUUUGGCUCAGGGCGUGGUCCCGGAGUUCUGGGAUCGAGCCCCACGUCAGGCUCUUCCGCUGGGAGCCUGCUUCUUCCUCUCGCACUCCCCCUGCUUGUGUUCCCUCUCUCGCUGGCUGUCUCUCUCUCUGUCAGAUGAAUUAAAAAAAAAUUACCUAAUGUACAUAAAUUGCAAGAAAGCCAAAGGCACAUCUCCUUGACAUUAUAUUUCAUCAGUUGCAAAUGGGAUCCUGUUGCAAAUGGGAUCCCAUUCCCGUUGUAUCUUCUCAUGAGUUGUUACAGUAACACAUACAUAACACGUAUUGUCACAUCGCUUAAUUUCUCUACCGUUUGAAAUAGUUUUUCAUUCGACCCCUUUGAAUUUCUGGGCAAAGAACCAUAUUAUUGACAAAUAAUUAGAUUUUUUUCCUUCUUUCUUUCAAUUUUUAUGCUUCAUUCUUGCCCUGCGUCUUGGUGCUGAAGGCUGGCGAACACCUCGCAGACCGUGUUUAGUAAGAGUGAUUCUGAACCUAGUCUUGUUUAGUUCCUUACCGGGAGUGCUCCUAGGGUGCCCUGUUCAGCAUGAUGUUUACGGUUAAGGCAUAGGAGGCAAGUCCACAAAGUAUGUUCUUAUUGCUAUUUUAUCAAGAAUUUUACCAUGAAUAAAAUGUUAAACUUUAUUCUUUUCCUUUUAUCA
This 1829-nucleotide long non-coding RNA is filed under the name Ursus maritimus (polar bear). RNAcentral's name for it is "lncRNA (ENSUMAG00000004568.1)". The record is from RNAcentral. Lineage: Eukaryota; Metazoa; Chordata; Mammalia; Carnivora; Ursidae.